This 468-nucleotide ribosomal RNA is filed under the name uncultured bacterium. RNAcentral describes it as "partial 16S ribosomal RNA". It matches the Rfam family "Bacterial small subunit ribosomal RNA", at positions 28 to 507 of the family's 1533-position model. The record is from RNAcentral.
GACGAACGCUGGCGGCGUGCUUAACACAUGCAAGUCGAACGGAAAGGCCCUGCUUUUGUGGGGUGCUCGAGUGGCGAACGGGUGAGUAACACGUGAGUAACCUGCCCUUGACUUUGGGAUAACUUCAGGAAACUGGGGCUAAUACCGGAUAGGCGCUCCUGCUGCAUGGUGGGGGUUGGAAAGUUUCGGCGGUUGGGGAUGGACUCGCGGCUUAUCAGCUUGUUGGUGGGGUAGUGGCUUACCAAGGCUUUGACGGGUAGCCGGCCUGAGAGGGUGACCGGCCACAUUGGGACUGGGAUACGGCCCAGACUCCUACGGGAGGCAGCAGUGGGGAAUAUUGCACAAUGGGCGGAAGCCUGAUGCAGCAACGCCGCGUGCGGGAUGACGGCCUUCGGGUUGUAAACCGCUUUCGCCUGUGACGAAGCGCGAGUGACGGUAAUGGGUAAAGAAGCACCGGCUAACUACGUG